This 819-nucleotide unclassified non-coding RNA is filed under the name uncultured bacterium. RNAcentral's name for it is "partial contains 16S ribosomal RNA, 16S-23S ribosomal RNA intergenic spacer". The stretch from base 1 to 190 matches the Rfam family "Bacterial small subunit ribosomal RNA", at positions 1345 to 1533 of the family's 1533-position model. The record is from RNAcentral.
CAGGUCAGCAUACUGCGGUGAAUACGUUCCCGGGCCUUGUACACACCGCCCGUCACACCAUGGAAGUUGGCCAUGCCCGAAGUCGUUACUCCACCCUUGUGGGAGGAGGACGCCGAAGGUGGGGCUAAUGACUGGGGUGAAGUCGUAACAAGGUAGCCGUACCGGAAGGUGCGGCUGGAUCACCUCCUAACAGGGAGACAACAAAAUUUUUAAUAUUAUUAUUUUGUCACCUUAGGUCGAUCGGUAUCUCACGUUUUUAAUUUAUUAAGAAUUUCAUUUCCUAAGUUUUUCUAGGUCACACCCAUUAUUUUUCCUGGGCCAUUAGCUCAGGUGGUUAGAGCGCACCCCUGAUAAGGGUGAGGUCCCUGGUUCAAGUCCAGGAUGGCCCAUAUCUCUAUGUUGGGGGUAUAGCUCAGUUGGUAGAGCGCCUGCUUUGCAAGCAGGAUGUCAGCGGUUCGAGUCCGCUUACCUCCACUGAUCACCACCUCUUCCAUAAUCGGUAGAAAGGAAAUUUUUUGAGUUGUGAUCAAAUUCUGAAAGAAUCUAGCUUCCUAAUGAAAUCAUUAAGAUGCUGGACUCAUUGAAUUAAUUUCAUUGUUUUCAGAGAACCUUGACAACUGCAUAGAUUAUUUUUAAAGACAAUAAGCAUCUUUAAUGAUGCAGAUUUAUUAUUUGUGCAAAUGCAUUAAUAACAAUUCUAUUAAGCUGAUGCUUCAAUAUUUGAAGUUAUUGGUCAAGCUACAAAGGGCUCACGGAGGAUACCUAGGCACACAGAGGCGAUGAAGGACGUGGUUACCUGCGAUAAGUCUCGGGGAGUGG